Molecule: ribosomal RNA, 440 nt
Filed under: uncultured bacterium
Lineage: Bacteria
Description: partial 16S ribosomal RNA
Rfam family: Bacterial small subunit ribosomal RNA
Source: RNAcentral
CUACGGGCGGCACCAGUAGGGAAUAUUGGACAAUGGGCGAAAGCCUGAUCCAGCAACACCGCGUGCACGAUGACGGCCUUCGGGUUGUAAAGUGCUUUUAGAGGAGAUGAGAAAGGACAGUAUCCUCUGAAUAAGCCUCGGCGAACUACGUGCCAGCAGCCGCGGUAAAACGUAGGAGGCAAGCGUUAUCCGGAUUUAUUGGGCGUAAAGCGCGUGCAGGCGGUCUAGCAAGUUGGAUGUGAAAGCUCCCGGCUCAACUGGGAGAGGUCGUUCAAUACUGUUAGACUAGAGAAUAGGAGAGGGAGGUGGAAUUCCGGGUGUAGUGGUGAAAUGCGUAGAUAUCCGGAGGAACACCAGUGGCGAAAGCGGCCUCCUGGACUAUUUCUGACGCUAAGACGCGAAAGCUAGGGUAGCAAACGGGAUUAGAUACCCGGGUAGUC